Molecule: ribosomal RNA, 189 nt
Filed under: uncultured Acholeplasma sp.
Lineage: Bacteria; Bacillati; Mycoplasmatota; Mollicutes; Acholeplasmatales; Acholeplasmataceae
Description: partial 16S ribosomal RNA
Rfam family: Bacterial small subunit ribosomal RNA
Source: RNAcentral
AUGCCCCUUAUGACCUGGGCUACAAACGUGAUACAAUGGCUGAAACAAAGGGCAGCGAAGCAGUGAUGUGAAAGCGAAACCCAAAAAAGCAGUCUCAGUUCGGAUUGAAGUCUGCAACUCGACUUCAUGAAGUCGGAAUCGCUAGUAAUCGCGAAUCAGAACGUCGCGGUGAAUACGUUCUCGGGGUUU